UACAGGUCAUCGCAGGACCUGAUAUGCCAGCUAGAGGGGUUUGACAAGAGGGAAAAAGCAAAUCACCUAGAUGUGGAUGCAAGGCGAUGAUCCGUCUUCACAAGACAGAUGACCAUGGUUGGUUUUUGGAGACAAAUCGGCCAGAUCACAACCACCCGCUGGCUGACAAUUGCGGUGAGAAAAUGCAAUGGAACUCACACAAAAGGAUUGACCAAGCAAUGAAAGACACUGUCCGCUACCUGAGAGAGAACAAUGUCAACCUCAGCAAAGUGCAUUGUAUUCUGGGCAGCAUGCACCGUGCAAUCGGAAAGAGAGAGGUGGCUGGCCGAUAGAGAAGCAUGCCCGCCGUAUCUACACACGACAGUGAUGAAGCUUUUCAAUCUGAAUGUGGUUUGUUUGGACAUUUCUAUGUGAAUGUGGUUUGUUUGGACAUUUCGUUGUCGUGUGCGCGCAUGUCAUUAGGCUGAUGAUACACCUUGGAUUGAAUCAGAUCCCUGACUUCCACAUAAUGAAGCGGUGGACAAAAUCUUCUAGGGACAUUUUGGGUCCAAGUGUUGAGGGCCCCAAAGAGACGGAGUUGUCAUUGCCAAAGUCUUUUUGGCACAACAUAAUGUACGUCAGCGCCCUGGAGGUUGUAAAAAUGGGUGAUUUAGCAGGCUAUUGUAGUUUUCUUGACCUUGUCUGUUGCAUUUUCAGAUGAACUCUGCAAUGCCAUAUCUUAGCUAUUGUAAGGGAUUUCUAUUGUAAUUUUCUUGACAUUUUCCGUUGCCAGAGCUUAGCUACUUUGUUGGUUGAGACAAGAGAUUGCUCAAUUAUGUGUUGUGCACUUUGCACAUUGUUACAGAAAAUUAUUUGUCCUGUGCAAAGUGUUAUAUGCUGGUAAAGAGCAACUGAACUAACUAGAGGAAUUCCAGGAUGAAAAUGAUGUAGC
Molecule: long non-coding RNA, 931 nt
Organism: Lolium rigidum
Lineage: Eukaryota; Viridiplantae; Streptophyta; Magnoliopsida; Poales; Poaceae
Exons: 4
Source: RefSeq, a predicted model, not a curated record